GGGUCACGGUCGCGGGACUUUUGUAUUCCGGAAGUACAAUCGGGAGCUGCAAAGCUAACGACGCUAGCUGAAGAAAUAGUGGAGACCGACGCUUCACUUUGUUGAUCAAAGUCACGGCAGUAAUGUGGUUCACUCAGUGUAUUCCUACACCAGCCUUUCUCUCGUGUCCGACGGGACGACGGCUGCAAUGACAGUGGUAACCCUGACAGCGUUCUCCCAUCAUGCUUCUUGUGUAAUUCCUGUGUACUUCCUGUUUUAACUUCCUGUGUGCGGUGACCAAAGUGUACUUCCGGUUUGCGGUCAUGGGGGAAACUGAGUCGGAUGGACUACGAACUCACUCACACACGUCUCAACAUCCUCGCUGCUCAGUAAUAUUUUUGGUCAUUUCACAUUUGAAAUACACAACAAGAAACCAGGGGGCUAACUGGAGUGAUGUGUAAACAAUAGGCUUAAAAAUGUCUUAAAACAGAAUGUGAUUCAAUGUUAAAACUGUGCUUGUGUUUGUCAUUAGUUGUGUAUUGUAUAUUGUAACUUUAGAAAUUCCAGGCAUGCAGUGAAAUGGUAAAUUUAUAUUUUAGUGUUCAUAUUUUAGUGUGUAAUAUACAACAUUCAUUCUUCCCAUUGUACCAAUGGAAAACCGUCAUUAGUUUUUUUUUUUUGUUUUUGUUUUUUACACCUGAAUAACCACCAGUUGUCUCCCUGGGUGGUUGCCACCCAGGACCUGAGAUGGCUCUGUGGUGUUGUGGAUCCCUUGUAUCAUGGACACAUUUUUACCAAAGCUUUGUGGGGUCAUUUAAUGGAGCGAAAUGUAGGAGUAUGAAACCCAAAUAUAAAGUAAAUGAAACCAAACCGUGUGAAAAAUACACAAAUCACACAGUGAACUUUAUUUCUGCAGUAGGACAAAUCAUUGGCAAAUGACAUCCAGUUCAAAAUGAAACGAUAACCGUCUAUUUUGGGGUUACAUAAUUGCUUUUAAAGUGAAGGUGACACAAUAUGUAUUUAUUUAUUUAUUGUAUUUAAGACUAAAAUUAAGCAACUGUUUGAAAUUAUACUUUCCCAGUGUGCGGUUACUGAAGCGAUAAAUAUUAGGAUUUUGAGCCGUGCGCCAAGAAAAAACAGGAAUUUCCGGCCGAGUCACAACAUUGGAGAAGGAGUAGGAAGUAACAUCAGCGGGAGGUUGUACUCUGAUUCUUCAUACAUUGUGCCCCUUCCACCUGAAAAAUAAAAUACAGUAUAUUCAGAGUAGAAGUUGUGAGAGCUUUAAAUGUACAUAUUUUUGAUACUGGGUUUUUGGAAUUUAAAUUGUGUUGCUGUGAUGAUUGUAAGGAUGUUUGCAGUUUUUGUUAAUGUUAUCUGCAAAUACAAGAUCUGAAUAAAUUGGAAUAUUUUGGUUUUCUGCCACUACAAUUGUCUUGGAGAUAAAUAUAAAGGGAGUAUAUUUGGAAUGCACUUUACAAUUUGAUAUUUUUUUCACUUACUCAUUUCCUGCUUCGUCUCUGUAAUGCUGUCUGUGAAGUAGACCGUCUGCAGGCCUUCCAAGUUCAGACAGAACAUUUGGAAUCCCUGGUGUUCUGUGAUGCGCCUCACCCCUCUUCUGGACCACCAUUUGUGACCCCCAUUAUGUCAUCUGCAAACUCGUCUAUGGAGGCUCCUGUCAGAUCUCAUCCAUCAGCCUGUCUAUCAACAGAGUCCAUCCUUGACAUAAUCCCACCUCCACCCCCCUCUGUCCCCUACUGCUGUCACUGUCCUCAUACACAUCCUGCACCACUCUCACAUACUUCUCUAACAUUUUGCCCUACUUGAGGAUGAUUCUGUCAGAUCUUCAGUGGGUCCUGGUGUGUCGACUGCUGGAUUUUGGGGUGAUUCCAAAAUAUGUUCCAGUCUGUUCCUGGAAACGUUGCAUCUUUGUGCUAUUGGAAGAUCUUCAGAGAGUUCGUUACAGCGUCACAAUUUAGGAUGCACACAAGAUAACUUCAGUGGCUUUAGCUUGGAGCUCAGUAAGAGCAGUAAAUCUAAUGCCCACAGCUGAGAGGAGCCACCAAGAGUCUCAUAACAUGUUCUGUCAACUAUUUUCACAAUCAUUCAUUAUUACUUGUACUGUGGAGUUUACUGUGUAAUGUGCUGCAACUUGUACAUUUUCAACACAACAUUAAACAAAUUUGUUG
Long non-coding RNA from Thalassophryne amazonica, 2165 nucleotides. RefSeq lists it as uncharacterized. The record is from RefSeq and is a predicted model, not a curated record. Lineage: Eukaryota; Metazoa; Chordata; Actinopteri; Batrachoidiformes; Batrachoididae. The transcript is spliced from 3 exons.